GUACCUUCGGGUAUGAGUAAAGUGGCGGACGGGUGAGUAAUGCAUAGGAAUCUGCCCAGUAGUGGGGGACAACUCGGGGAAACUCGAGCUAAUACCGCAUAUUUCCUACGGGAGAAAGACUUCGGUCGCUAUUGGAUGAGCCUAUGUCAGAUUAGCUUGUUGGUAGGGUAAUGGCCUACCAAGGCGACGAUCUGUAGCUGGUCUGAGAGGAUGAUCAGCCACACUGGGACUGAGACACGGCCCAGACUCCUACGGGAGGCAGCAGUGGGGAAUAUUGGACAAUGGGCGAAAGCCUGAUCCAGCAAUGCAGCGUGUGUGAAGAAGGCCUGAGGGUUGUAAAGCACUUUCAGUAGGGAAGAUAAUGACGGUACCUACAGAAGAAGCACCGGCUAACUCCGUGCCAGCAGCCACGGUAAUACGGAGGGUGCAAGCGUUAAUCGGAAUUACUGGGCGUAAAGCGUACGUAGGAUGUGAUGCAAGUCGGAUGUGAAAUCCCCGGGCUUAACCUGGGAACUG
This 516-nucleotide ribosomal RNA is filed under the name uncultured Gammaproteobacteria bacterium. RNAcentral's name for it is "bacterial SSU rRNA". It matches the Rfam family "Bacterial small subunit ribosomal RNA", at positions 74 to 623 of the family's 1533-position model. Lineage: Bacteria; Pseudomonadati; Pseudomonadota; Gammaproteobacteria. The record is from RNAcentral.